GCAUAUCAAUAAGCGAGAGAAAAGAAACUAACAAGGAUUCCCUUAGUAGCGGCGAGCGAAGCGGGAUGAGCUCAAAUUUGAAAGCUGGCGUCCUUCGGGCGUCCGCAUUGUAAUCUAUAGAGGCGUUUUCUGUGCUGGACCGUGUCCAAGUCCCUUGGAACAGGGUAUCAAAGAGGGUGACAAUCCCGUACUUGACACGACAACCAGUGCUCUGUGAUACGUCUUCUACGAGUCGAGUUGUUUGGGAAUGCAGCUCAAAAUGGGUGGUGAAUUCCAUCUAAAGCUAAAUAUUGGCGAGAGACCGAUAGCGAACAAGUACCGUGAGGGAAAGAUGAAAAGCACUUUGGAAAGAGAGUUAAACAGUAUGUGAAAUUGUUGAAAGGGAAACGAUGGAGGUCAGUCGUGUCUGUGGGAUUCAGCCGUCUCUGGCGGUGUACUUCCCACAGACGGGUCAACAUCAGUUUUGGUCGGCGGAUAAAGGCAGGAGGAAGGUGGCACCCCCGGGUGUGUUAUAGCCUCUUGUUGCAUACGCUGGCCGAGACUGAGGAAUGCAGCUCGCCUUUAUGGCCGGGGUUCGCCCACGUUCGAGCUUAGGAUGUUGACAUAAUGGCCUUCAACGACCCGUCUUGAAACACGGACC
Molecule: ribosomal RNA, 640 nt
Filed under: Saitozyma podzolica
Lineage: Eukaryota; Fungi; Basidiomycota; Tremellomycetes; Tremellales; Trimorphomycetaceae
Description: eukaryotic LSU rRNA
Rfam family: Eukaryotic large subunit ribosomal RNA
Source: RNAcentral